UCCUGUACCAUGCGGUACUGGUCGGGUUGGCCCUUAACAGUUCACUUUUUAACAGGGAAAAGUGGGGUGUUGCAUGGAGAUGUGCACUUGGUGAGGGCACCUUUGGCAAGCAGAGACUCAACUUGUUUGGUGAUGGCUUCAGCUUGUGCUGGCUUCAGAGGAUACUGAGGUCUACGAGGAGGAAGUGCUCCAGGCAGGAGCUGGACCAGGACGGGGGGUACACGUAAGCGUCCAAUAUCAUCCGGGCCGGUGGACCAAAGUUCUUGGGGGAUACGAUCCAGAGCACUGGGGGGGGGUGUGACCCGUGCACUCCCUGUAUUGUCAGUUAGGUUCAACAAGAUGGGGAGUGAGCAGAGUACAGUGGUGUCUGUCUGUGAUAAGGGUGUAGUUAACUGGACCCUGGAGCUGAGAAAGAACAUCAGCACCCAAGAGGUUAAUGGGACAAGUAGAAGAAACAACAAAACGUGAGAGUAUGUAUGAACCAACAUGCAGGAGUGUAGUGAGGGGGCUACUGCGGGGUGUACCAUCCACCCCAACACAGGAGACAUCGGUGUCUGACAAAAAGGAGGGGUCAUGGCAGGGGUUGCUGACACAGGCUUGCCGGUAACCUAUUGCAGUAAAUCUAAAUGGGCCUGGUCGGGUCCUUGGUACCGGUGGGUAGAAGUGGGAGGGUGGCUGGACUGCAUAGGAGCACGGGCAAGGCGGCUUUGUCGAGGUAGGGGCUGAAUAUCUCGGAAACCACCCGUGUCAAACCCAUCAGCAUGAGCUGGAGGGUAUGCACGGGCCUCUAAAGCAGGGGGCCGGCUGGGAUGGGCGGGAUAGGUGAGUAUUAAGGACGUGAGCAAGGGCAGAGAUUGGAUCGGAAGGCUCGGGGACGUUAGCCGGGGGCGGAGAAGGGGUUGGAGGAUCAGAGGGAGGAGGUGGUAAAUCAGUGGGAGGCGGGGCAGGAAUCGCGGAAUUAACCAGGGAGGUAACAGCAGAGAAGAGGGCGGAUAUCGAGCUAGACAGGUCAUUGGCCAUGGUUGAGUCAGGGGUCACCGGGGGAGGGGUCGGAGGGAUGGGAACAGGGGGCUGGGUCGCAACAGCGUGGGUAGAGGGUUGGGACGGCAAAUCAGUCGGGAGGGGAGGAGGCAACGAAGUAGAGGGGACCGGGAUAUCGGGAGGGGGUACCACUGGAGAAGGGGUUGGAGGGGUGGGAACGGGGGGCUGGGUCAGGGCGGUAAGGGCAGAGAUUAGGGACGGCAAAUCAGCCGAGGGGGGAGGAGGCAACGAGGUAGAGGGGGCCGGGACUUCGGGAGGAGGAGGUAACACUGG
Molecule: non-coding RNA, 1314 nt
Organism: Pelobates cultripes (western spadefoot toad)
Lineage: Eukaryota; Metazoa; Chordata; Amphibia; Anura; Pelobatidae
Source: the annotation of a GenBank genome assembly